AUCCAAUAUAUACGGAAGAAUAUACCGAAAGGAAAAGGAAAGUAAGUACUAGUUAGUAUUAGGAUUACUGAGUGAUGUUGAACUGGUAGAGGAGAUGACGACUUUUUAUCAUGUUCUCGUUGGGCUAAGGUGUGCUAAGAUUGGGCUAUAUAGAACAUAAAUUUGAAGAUGAAAUUGGGCAUCGUGAUGAGAUGUAACUUGGGAGAGACUGAGAACGGGCACUAAACAGACAAGCCAAUGACAAAUUGACAGCGGAAAUUUGAAAAAUACAAUUCGUCAGACAGAUCGUCAUACUCGUUACAGCCGGUAAUUCAGAUUACGUAGAUAGAUUCGUAAUCCGUCGAAAAUGGUAAAAAAAUGUUGGACGGGAAUGUAUAGAUCUGAGCAAAGAGAGAAAGAAACGUGGAGAUAAUAAAAAGCUCCAGCUUUGAAAAAAAAGAAAAAAAAAAGAAGAAAAGAAAAAGAGAAAAAGAGAUAGAGAGAUUAAAGCGAGAAUACCAGAACAAAGAGAAGAAAGAGAAAAGGAUAGAACAUGCACAGGAAGGAAAAGCUAAAGAAGUAGAAAUAGAUGAAAGUUCGGACAAGUAGAUCAAGUGUUCUACAGCAUAACAGGAAUAAAAGGAUCGAGCUCAUGCAACUGCUGAGCAUCGAAAAGAGACGGGUCGAAUAAGGAUGAAUCUAGAACAUUCAUCGACAUUUGCUCAACACUGUCAUGCCCACUGGGGAAUCCAUGACCGCAG
Molecule: small RNA, 740 nt
Filed under: Histoplasma ohiense
Lineage: Eukaryota; Fungi; Ascomycota; Eurotiomycetes; Onygenales; Ajellomycetaceae
Description: hypothetical lncRNA
Source: RNAcentral